AGGACUAACUGAAAGGCUUUGACAGGAACGCCUCUUUAGUGCUUGAGGCAUCUUUUACUCUGUCUGACCAAUUUUUUAGCUCAAGAUUUUCUUCUCAGUUAAGACAAAAAAAAAAAAUGUCUACCCAAAGACUGUCUGUGCUUUCUCCCCUUCUGUUCUUCUGCUUCUUCAGAGAGAGUUUCUCCAUUUGUGACGGAACAACGUGGACAAAGGUUGGAUGGGAGAUUUUUCCAGAGGAAGUGCACUACCUGAAAGUUAAGGUUCCCCCAUCCAGCUGCCUGCCUUACCCUCUGGACAAACUCUGCUGCAACUUUGCUAACAUGGACCUCUUACAGAGCUCCUUACACCUCACUUACAUCUUAGCGCAAGCUCUCUGCUUAAUCCUGUUUGCUUUAUCUGUGCAUUACCUAUGGAUGAAAUGGACAAGACACCAAAAAAAGCUGAAAAAGCAAGCUUCCUUAGAGAAACAAGCUAACGGCCUAGACCUGAGCCCAUCCAUCCAUGACAUUGAACAAAUCCUCUGCAGACUACUGGCCACAACAUCAAUGAUGACCAAGUUCCUGAAGCACGUGUCUCACCACUCUUCUGUUAAGAAAGCUAAGCAACAACGUAAAUUAAGGAAGAAGAAGAGUAAGGGAGAAGAGGAGCAGAGGAACGCUGCCACCCCGAAGCUCGUGCAGAUGUAGCUUGGUCAAGUGCGGAGAGUGUAAAAGAAAUCUAUUGCAGGGACUGUCUGGGGACACAAAGGUUUCUUUGGGGGCUUGCUUUUUUCUUUCUUUUUUUUUUUGCCACAAUCAUUACAGAAAAAUUCUCAGAUGAGCUCUGGGUUUCCGCUCAACUGAAAAAGAAUCCACUCUUUCUAACGUGGCUCCCAGAAUAAACUGAGAACACCUUAACUGGAA
This 902-nucleotide long non-coding RNA is filed under the name Mus caroli (Ryukyu mouse). RNAcentral describes it as "lncRNA (MGP_CAROLIEiJ_G0002428.1)". Lineage: Eukaryota; Metazoa; Chordata; Mammalia; Rodentia; Muridae. The record is from RNAcentral.